UGAACGCUAGCGGCAGGCUUAACACAUGCAAGUCGAGGGGUAGAAGCAGCUUGCUGCUUUGAGACCGGCGCACGGGUUGCGUAACGCGUAUACAAUCUACCUUUUACAGAGGGAUAGCCCAGAGAAAUUUGGAUUUAAUACCUCAUAGUAUUUUCGAAUCGCAUGAUUUGAUUNUUAAAGUUGAGGCGCUGUAAGAUGGGCGUGCGUGCUAUUAGCUAGUUGGUGAGGUAACGGCUCACCAAGGCUACGAUAGCUAGGGGGCGUGAGAGCGUGGCCCCCACACGGGUACUGAGACACGGACCCGACUCCUACGGGAGGCAGCAGUAAGGAAUAUUGGACAAUGGUCGAAAGACUGAUCCAGCCAUCCCGCGUGCAGGAUGACUGCCCUAUGGGUUGUAAACUGCUUUUAUAUGGGAAGAAUAGCAUAGAUUCAUCUGUGUAUGACGGUACCAUAUGAAUAAGCACCGGCUAACUCCGUG
RNAcentral lists this ribosomal RNA (479 nucleotides) under uncultured bacterium. RNAcentral's name for it is "bacterial SSU rRNA". It matches the Rfam family "Bacterial small subunit ribosomal RNA", at positions 30 to 507 of the family's 1533-position model. The record is from RNAcentral.